GAAUAUAUAAGGGACAGUGAAGAAGAUGCACUUCAAAUGGUCAAGAACACGAAACUAUUCAAGACCAAUGAAACAAAACAGGCCUACAAGAAAGAACAAGUCAAGAACCGAGCAGAAAAAUGGAAAAAUAAGCCACUGCAUGGUUAAUAUUUGCACAAUAUAAGUGGAAAAUCAGAAAUAACCAAGAUCUGGCAAUGGCUUAAGAAUGGCAACUUGAGAAAAGAAACAGAGGGUUUAAUACUGGCUGCACAAGAACAGGCACUAAGAACAAAUGCAAUAAGAGCAAAAGUAGAAAAACCAACAACAAACAGCAAGUGCUGUCAUUGUAAAGAAGCAGAUGAAACAGUGGACCACCUAAUCAGCUCUUGUAAAAAGAUCACACAGACUGACUACAAACAAAGGCAUGACAAGGUAGCAGGGAUGAUACACUGGAACAUCUGCAAAAAAUACAAACUACCUGUAGCCAAAAAUUGGUGGGACCAUAACAUUGAAAAAGUGGUAGAAGAUGAAGAUGUAAAAAUAUUAUGGGACUUCCGACUACAAAGACAAACAUCUGCCACACAAUACACCAGAUAUAACUGUAGUCAAGAAGAAAGAAAAACGUCAAAAUAAUCGACAUAGCAAUACCAGGGGAUAGCAGAAUAGAAGAAAAAGAAAUAGAAAAAAAUCACCAAAUACAAAGAUCUACAAAUUGAAAUUGAAAGGCUGUGGCAGAAAAAGACCAAAGUAAUCCCAGUGGUAAUUGGCGCCCUGGGUGCCGUUCCAAAAAACCUUGAAGAGCACCUCAACACCAUAGGGGCCACAGAAAUCACCAUCAGCCAAUUACAAAAAGCAACUUUACUGGGAACAACCUAUAUUCUGUGAUGAUAUCUAUAAAAACAGCAACAACAUUGACAAUAAAAUUCAGAAACCCCAGGUCCUUGGGAAGGAUUUGAUGUCUGGAUAAAACAAACCAGUCAAUAACACCUGUGUGACUGCGAAAACAAACAAACAAACAAACAAACAAACAAACAAACAAUUUCAGCCUUUUUAUUGCACCUAUUAACCAAACAUUAAAAUUAAAACAGGGACAGGAAUCCAGGCAUGGCUCUCUCACUUCCCUGCUGCUAUUCAUAAUCAUCUCUAGCUCCAAACUAGAUCUUAAGUCAUGAAGAACAACAACAACUCUUAACUCACUGGCCAGCACUGACUUGUCCCUGACAAGACUGAAAAGUCCGUGACUUUUCUCUCAGCCUAACCCGCCUCACAGGCUUGUUGUGAGGAUAAAUAAGGUCCCUGUUUUUCAAAUUCACACUCUGUUGGACCAAGUUCAGAGAACUCAGGGUAUGUGUACCAGGUGAAACCCUCCAGAACAUUGAAGCUAUGGAAAAGGUUGGAAGAUACCUGUGAACUGAUGAGAUUGGAAGACCUCGCCAGCCAAUGUACAGUCCAGUGGGAUCUGGCCAACUGAUGAAUGUGAAGAAGUCAUUCAGCUCUACUAACCUGUCUCUAAGAAAUAACCACCUAGAAUAGGGAUGUCAAACUCCCAGUCUGAGGAACAGAUCUGGCCUGUGAAGCUCCAGCCCCCAGGCAGGUCCAGCUGAUCCCUGCUGUGACUGCAGACACAUUCACUGUUUUCCCCGUUGCCUGAGCAGGGGCCAAUAAGACAAUCACCACCAUGACCAAAAAGCAGCUAUUAUCCAGCCCCCGUCUUUCCCCUGCCAGCUUGCCUGUGUUUCCCCCAAUGAGCAGGGGCCAGGAACUCACGGCCAAGGGGAGCCAUCACCCAGUCCUUUUCCCUGCAGUUCCUGUCUUUCCCCCAACAGAACACUGCCAAUCCCAAUGCUUUCUUCAUUUUGCCCAAAAAAUUCCUAUAAACCAUCUUUUAACUGUU
Hemicordylus capensis (graceful crag lizard) is the source of this 1873-nucleotide long non-coding RNA. RefSeq lists it as uncharacterized. The transcript is spliced from 2 exons. The record is from RefSeq and is a predicted model, not a curated record. NCBI's taxonomy places the organism in Eukaryota, Metazoa, Chordata, Lepidosauria, Squamata, Cordylidae.